GCGGGUGUAGCUCAGUUGGUAGAGCGGCACGUUGCCAACGUGCAGGUCGACGGUUCGAACCCGUUCACCCGCUCCA
Molecule: transfer RNA, 76 nt
Filed under: Gammaproteobacteria bacterium
Lineage: Bacteria; Pseudomonadati; Pseudomonadota; Gammaproteobacteria
Also listed under: 1 other name
Description: tRNA-Gly
Rfam family: tRNA
About the family: Transfer RNA (tRNA) molecules are approximately 80 nucleotides in length.
Source: RNAcentral